GGCUGGCGCCAGCCGCCUUCCCUGCGUGUGUAGGCUUUGCGUGUGUGUACAUGCAAGCGAGGGAGCGAGAGGCGAAGGAAGCGGGCGCGUGCGGAGGAGUCUCCCGCGAGGCUCGCCGAAGCCCAGCGCAGCAGGCGGGUGCCGGGGUCCGGCCGCGGGGCAUGGAGAGCCUGCUGGAGAAUCCGGUGCGCGCCGUCCUCUACCUGAAAGAGCUCACCGCCAUCGUCCAGAACCAGCAGAGCCUCAUCCACACCCAGCGCCAGCGCAUCGACGAGUUGGAGAAGCGCCUAGACGAGCUCAGCACCGAGAACCGCAGCCUCCGCGAGCAGUACGCGCUCCCGGCGGAAGCCCCGCCGCCGCCGCUGCCGCUGCAGCCGAGGGUUCCCCCUGCUGCCUCCUUGCCUUGCCGAGCGCCGCCUCCGGGCCAGCAGCAGCAGCCGGCGGCGGCGGCGGCGGCGGCGGCGGCGGCUGAACAGGAGGAGUUUCAGCACCACCAACAGCUCCCGGCGCUUCAGCAGCCGCCGCCGCGGCACCCGCCGCCGCCUCCGCCGCCUCCCAGCAGUAGCAAGCAAGCUCAGGCCGGCCCCAGCGGCACCCGGACGCCGAUCUCACACCAGCACCCUUCCCUCCAGCCCCACCAGCACCACCACGAGGACAGCCGGGAAAAGAGCUGUUGCCCUGCCCUCCUUCCGCACAAAAGCCCCCCAGCCCUCGGCAAAGGCGUCUUAGUCAGAAGGCUAGAGAAUGAGACUGUUUUACACCAAUUCUGCUGCCCGGCUGCGGAUGCAGAGCAAAAGCCUUCAUCUGCAGAGUCUUCUUCAAGUGAUGAUCCCUGCGGUUCAGCCAGCAAGAAAACCGGGUGUGACGUGGACGAACCGAAGGAGUCCGGCAGAGGCAGUGGCCAGGAAGGCAGGUCCGACACCUUGAAGUUAAAAGCCCAGCAUGAGGAGCGGCAGGAAGAGCAGGCAGCGGGGUCCUCCCAUUUGGUGCAGAAGGCCAGCCUCCACCACACAGGUUCCCCCGUGAGAGGGCAGCGCAGCAAAGGGGCAGCUACCUGUUCCCAUGCGGCUGCGUCCAAUUAUGAGCUCUCCCUUGACUUAAAGAAUAAACAGAUCGAAAUGCUAGAGCACAAAUAUGGGGGCCACUUGGUCUCUCGGAGAGCAGCCUGCACAAUUCAGACUGCCUUCCGCCAGUACCAGCUCAGCAAAAACUUUGAGAAGAUCCGGAAUUCUCUACUGGAGAGCCGCAUGCCCCGGCGGAUUUCCUUGAGGAAACUCCGAGUCCAGAACUCUGAAAAUUUCUCUGCUGAGAAAGCUCUAGUGGAAGGCUAUAACUUUGUUGGCAUCCCCUUGGUAAGAUCUCCCUCUUUGCCAGUAACCAUUAGUGGGGCCCUGACCGAACUGGAAGACUCCUUCACUGAGCAAGUUCAAUCUUUGGCCAAAUCAAUUGACGACGCGCUUAGCACAUGGAGCCUGAAAACGAUGUGCUCCCUUCAAGAUGGCAGUUCCUAUCAGAUCAGAGAGACCUUCAGUACGAGUGCCAUGCAACCAAACCAAGACUUGGACAUGGAACUGAAGGACCAAGAGAAGGAGGAAGGGCUGCUGCCAGACACAUUACCAAAGAGCAGCAGCACGCUCAUGAUGGCCUUCAGGGAUGUCACUGUCCAAAUAGACAACAAGAACAUCUCCGUCUCCUCAUCUACCUCGGUGUCUAUGGCAAACUGCCUGGCUAACAGUAGUCAGGCUGGGAUUUCUCCAGCUGCCAAAAUAGAAGAAAUCCCUGUGGAAGGGGAGAAAGAGGAUAAAGAUCUUCAAGUUGUUUCAGAAGGGCAGCCUGAUGCUGGAGCCUUCCAGAACAGUCACCCAAUAACCGAGGGGAAUCUCAACACCAACGGUUUGGAGAAAGGGGAGGCUGAGCAAGACCAAAUGAUGAUGCCGAAACUCGAGUUUGGCUCUGAAAACGGGACUGGGCAGCACAAGGGAUCAGAAGCUGAAAAUGUAGACAAUUUGGAACAACUGAGCAGUAGCAGUACGUCCACCUCGGCGAAGUCUGCUUCAGAGUUAUCCUCAAAGGAAGCCCUGCAAGCCAUGAUUUUGAGCCUCCCACGGUACCACUGUGAGAAUCCAGCUGUCUGCAAAUCCCCCACACUUUCCACGGACACCAUGAGGAAACGGCUGUACCGCAUUGGGCUGAAUCUCUUUAACAUAAAUCCAGACAAGGGGAUCCAGUUCCUGAUCUCUCGAGGUUUCAUACCAGAUACACCGAUUGGAGUGGCCCAUUUCCUGUUGCAGCGUAAGGGGCUCAGCCGACAAAUGAUCGGGGAAUUUCUGGGAAACAGCAAGAAACAAUUCAACAGAGAUGUCCUGGACUGUGUAGUGGAUGAGAUGGACUUCUCUGGCAUGGAGCUUGAUGAAGCUUUGCGGAAAUUUCAGGCCCAUAUCCGGGUGCAGGGAGAAGCCCAGAAAGUGGAACGACUAAUUGAAGCCUUCAGCCAGAGGUACUGCAUGUGUAAUCCAGAUGUAGUCCAACAGUUCCAUAAUCCAGAUACCAUUUUCAUCUUGGCUUUUGCCAUCAUCCUUCUUAAUACGGAUAUGUACAGUCCUAACAUUAAACCUGACAGGAAGAUGAUGCUGGAGGACUUCAUUCGGAACCUGAGAGGAGUGGAUGAUGGAGCUGAUAUUCCCCGUGACUUGGUGGUGGGGAUUUAUGAAAGGAUUCAGCAAAGAGAGCUCAAAUCCAACGAGGACCACGUCACUUAUGUCACCAAAGUAGAAAAAUCAAUUGUGGGAAUGAAAACGGUGCUGUCUGUGCCUCAUCGCCGGUUGGUCUGUUGCAGCCGCCUUUAUGAAGUCACAGACGUGAACAAAGUGCAGAAACACGCUGCCCACCAGAGAGAAGUGUUUCUCUUCAACGACCUGCUGGUGAUUCUCAAGCUUUGCCCCAAGAAGAAAAGCUCUUCAACCUACACAUUUUGCAAGUCAGUCGGCCUCUUAGGAAUGCAGUUCCAUCUGUUUGAGAAUGAAUACUAUCCCCAUGGUAUCACUUUGGUGAUUCCAGUUUCAGGCUCAGAGAAGAAACAGGUGCUUCAUUUCUGUGCCCUAAACGCUGAAGAAAUGCAAAAGUUUGUGGAAGACCUCAAAGAAUCAAUAGCUGAGGUGAUGGAGCUAGAACAGAUUCGAAUUGAAUGAAUAUAGGAACAUUAUUAUCUGGGGUAAUCUCUUUCCCCACUAUAAACAAAAAAGUUAUUAUGAGUUACUGAAUCCACAUCCCAAGUUCAAACUUUGGUCUAAGCCAGUGGUUCCCAACCUUUUCUUUGGCCAUGCCCCACCUAAGCAUCUCGAAAAUCCUGAUGCCCCCCUCCCCCUCGUGACAUAUAAUUCUUACUAUUCAAAAAGUGAAUUCCUACUCACAGGAGGAAGCCUAAAAGGCCAUUAACUUGGUUUAAACAAGGUUCCAAUUGCCCCCAUGAAAAAUCAAAUUGCCCCCAUUAAAAAUCAAAUUGCCCCUCUGUGGGGUGUGGGCCCCACUUUGGGAACCACUGGUCUAAGGUAUUAUUUGUUUUAACUGUGGUUUAUACACAGUGCUAAAUUGUAAACCAUCAUCUACGAAUCCCAGUGGUUGAAUUCAAACACCAUGCUAAACCAGAGUCAAUCUUCAUUAUGACCCUAAUGUGGUAUAUACAGGCAAACGUAAGGUACAGAAUCAUUGAGCUUGCCAGAGAUACAAUGUUCCUAUGUUCCUAUCAAUAAUUGCACAUGGAACCAGUAAAUAAAUUACUCCCUUGGUUUUGGAAAUGGGUAAGAUGGAUAAUAAAAUAAUGAGAAUAUUUGAAAACAAAUGUAUGCUGGAUUAGCUCAUAUGAGUCCAGCCGAUACAAUAACACCCGGGACUUAUGUGUAUCAGAAAACCUGGCAUCAUUUUUGGAAUGCUAUAUGGAUUAUGUGCUCCUAAUGUGACUGCUAAUUAACUGCUUGGCUGCACAAUCCGGCGAGUUCCUCUUUUUUCAUUACUUACUUACUGAAUAAUACUUCCCCUCACAUACACAAAAAUAUCCCUUCCCCACAUACUGUUGCAUCCAUUCAGUUGAAGAGCUCUCUGGAUACGGCUACAGUUAUUCACAGUGGGGUAAAGCAAAAUUUGCAGAAUCAAAAUUCAUCCUGGAAACAGAUAUUUGCAAAUUCAGAGAAGUCGCACUUCUGGGUUUGUCAUUCCCUACUUUUUGGCUCAAGGAGCACACACCAAAUCCAGGAGAAGAAAUAUAUGUCAUUGCCCUGAUUGUGGGUAUUUUACCCAAUCUACUCCACUUGUAAUAUUUUAGCCUAAAAUGUAGAUAGCUUUCCUAGAAUUCUUUAUGUUUGUCAAAGCAUAAGUAGAAGCGGGCCAAACUUUCAUUUGUGUUUUGCGUUUGUGUGUGUGUGUGUUUGUGUGUGCGCCCGCACGUACAUGCACUCAGGUGGUAUAUUUUCUAUCUUUCCCAACCGGGUGUUUUCUCACUGUGAUAGACUAUAGCUUUGCCCCUGUGUCAGGAGAUGCCUGCUAGCACCUUUUCCAACCAGCAAAUUUUAAUAAAAAACUUUUCAUGAGAUGCAGCUCACUUCAACAGAUGCCCGGAGUGGCUAGGCUGAUGGAGAAUUUAAAUUGGGGGGGGAGGAGAAGAAGGCAGGGGAAGACAGAUUGGUUAUGCAGAUGCAUGUUAUAAAUACUCUUGUCAAUUAACAAUUGUGCUAAAAAAACCUAUUGUGUUUGUUGAGGCCUUCUGAGAUGGCUUGAAAUCUUUUGUUGGACGUGAGUCCAACAGUAGCUUCCCCCAAUGGUGCGGUUAAAGUUUCUUUUUUCCCAAAAUGGCUAGUUUGAAUUCUGUAGUGAAUUAUCCUAGGAGGCUGAAACGCUCUGAUAUUCCUUUGUCCUUGUCUUGAGAGCUGAUGUCAAACUUGUGCCCAUUAAUUCUUUUGCACAAAGUUUGUCUGAGAUGUACAGAAUCCAGAGGGACAUUGCUGGCAGAUGAUGGCAUAUAUCCCACUGGAGGAAGAGCAAGUGAAGGCACCUUUAACCUUAUAGGUGAAGCGUUUUGGAGCCUGUGAUACUAGUGCUGUUGAAAUGAAUAUGGGGCCAAACGUCUGUUUCUCAUCUUAAUAUCAUUUUCUCCCUGUUUCUGAAUACUGAUGAGAGAAUCUGCUUCAGGUUGGAUGGUUUGUAUGCAAGUCUAGAUCGGCUACACCAGAGUUCUCCAAUUUUUCUGGUUUUGUGGACCAGCUGGGGUGGGGGGGGAGAGAGUAUGGUUCUGUGUGAGUGGUGGACAAGUGCAUGUAGCUCCAUUGGUGCAAGCAUCAGGUACAUGCACCCACUGCUCACUGUCAGGGUUCCAAAUAAUAAAUCCAUAGCAAGCGAGACUCCAAGGCAGGUAGAUUCCUCAAAGAAUACUUUUAUUGGAAUGAUCAUAUUGGCACAUAUCUGGUGAAAACCGACUCUGAAGGUUCCCGUGGUUUUCACCAGAUUAAUUAAAAGUAAAUUAAAUUAAAAGUAAUUAAACAUUUUAUACUUUCUCAAAACACACAGCCAUAUGGUCCAAUUGCACUCCUGGCUGGCCACCGGGUGACAUCACUUCGGCUUCCUCCGACCAGGUAUGAAAAAUGUCCUUGGUUCCCAAGAGAAAGUAUUUUGUUUUGGCUACAGAACCACAUCUAUCUCAAAUACCCCCUCCCUAUCCCUCAGGUCCAGUGUGGCAACACUGAAGCGGUCAAAAUGGCUUCAAUCAGGUCAGCUUCAGGGUUGACACUCGCGCAAGUGGAGAUGCGCAUGCACACAUGCACGCUCGCACGCCACUUCCGCAGCCCAGUUCCAAAGGGUUCAAGGCAUGGUAGUGGACUAUGGCCCAGGAGUUGGGGAUCCUUGUGCUACACAGUUCCUGAGAAAGCUGUCCAGCACUGGUUGUAAUUUACUGGUCUUAAUAAUGUCAUUUAUCAAUAAUCUGUUUGAGUGACUUGAGCUAUGACAGCCACUGGAAUUCUGUUCUGUUUUUGUGAUCUAUCAUUUAACAGAACUGGGAAUUGAUGUGGUUCUGUUGAUGUAUCUGUUGAUCUAGGUGAGUGGGUUUCAGUCUCCCGAAUGGCUGGCUUAAUUUCAUCGAACGAGCAUCUCUUAUCCAAUGAAUUAGAACAAAUACAAUUAUAGCUCGGAGCCUAGCUAGAGAUGAUAGAUUUGAGAGUGUGUUGUGGGUAGAAACCCGAAACAUUUAAGCACGCAUAGGUAAUCUGUAGGCUUCAUGUGUAAUGUGAUGUUUAUAUAUCAAUUCUGUAUUGUUACUAGGGCAUCAAGGAAAUGGACUUGUUGUUCAAGUGCACUGCUACUAAAGUUGAUGGUGAGCUGGAAGUUGUUGAAGCUUUGAUAAAAUUUGAUGAGCUUUUUUUCCCAUAGGUCCAUGUAGUGAAAAUGUCAUCAGUGAAUUUCAAGUAAAGGAGGGGUUUCAGGAGGCAAGAACUGAGGAAGCAGUAUUCUAGGUUGGCAUGGAGAAUUUGGCAUAUGACUUGAGUAUUCAUGCUGUGAUGCUCAUCUGCAAGAAUAUGUUGUUGCCAAAGUUUAAGGAGUCAAGGGUGAAGACCAGGUCAUACAGUUAGGUGAUAAUAAUGAUACUUAUAAUCUGCCUCUCAUCUGUCCUGCAUUUCCAUAACCCUCCCUUCUUCUCUUCUUUUUGCUACUUCUCUCAACCCAAUUUAAAUCCUACAUUAGUCUAGUCACUUUGUGCAUUAGAUGAAGUGAACUGCAGCUCAUGAAAACUUAUGACUUUUAAUAAAAUGGGUACGACAGAAAAGUGCUACCAGAUUCCUCCUGAUUAUUUGCCACCGUAGACUAACAUGACUCUCCUCCUACAAUAUCUAGCAGACAUGAUUGCUCUUUUUUUCUUUGUCACAUCCCUCUGGUUUUUAUGGCUCUGUUUUUUUUUUUGUUUUCAUCUUUCUUUUUCUUUCUCUCCAUUAUAUAUUCUGUACCUUCCUCCUCUUCCCCCAUCCCCAUGUCUUCUUAGGGGAGCUGGAGAAACAGCAUGGGGCAAAGAAUCUUUCCUUAAAAACCAAUGGGGCUCAGAUGGAAAUGCAAUUCAAGCACGGAUCUCCAGCAGGCAAAAAAGAUU
Molecule: non-coding RNA, 7126 nt
Organism: Pantherophis guttatus
Lineage: Eukaryota; Metazoa; Chordata; Lepidosauria; Squamata; Colubridae
Source: RefSeq, a predicted model, not a curated record